Molecule: ribosomal RNA, 301 nt
Filed under: uncultured bacterium
Lineage: Bacteria
Description: partial 16S ribosomal RNA
Rfam family: Bacterial small subunit ribosomal RNA
Source: RNAcentral
CAGUAGCCACGGUAAAACGUAGGUGGCAAGCGCUGUCCGGAAUUAUUGGGCGUAAAGGGCUCGCAGGCGGUUUCUUAAGUCUGAUGUGAAAGCCCCCGGCUCAACCGGGGAGGGUCAUUGGAAACUGGGAAACUUGAGUGCAGAAGAGGAGAGUGGAAUUCCACGUGUAGCGGUGAAAUGCGUAGAGAUGUGGAAGAACACCAGUGGCGAAGGCGACUCUCUGGUCUGUAACUGACGCUGAGGAGCGAAAGCGUGGGGAGCGAACAGGAUUAGAUACCCGCGUAGUCCCUGUCUCUUAUAC